Long non-coding RNA from Alligator mississippiensis (American alligator), 1857 nucleotides. RefSeq lists it as uncharacterized. The record is from RefSeq and is a predicted model, not a curated record. NCBI's taxonomy places the organism in Eukaryota, Metazoa, Chordata, Crocodylia, Alligatoridae. The transcript is spliced from 8 exons.
GGCCAGCCUCGAUCUCGUCCCGUCGCUUCUAUAUAAAUCCUCCGAGCAGCGAAGCUCGUUCUUUUCUUCCUUGCGGAGCGGAGGUAGCGGAAUAAAGACAAACUUAUUCUAGAAACUAUGCGGAGAAAGCUUACAGUGAUCUGCUGGCUGCUGCGCAGAAAUGCUCAGGUCCAGACCUUCAUGAGAACAUCAACAAAUUUAGAAGAAUAUUUGUGUUAUUGUAGGUGGUCCUAAAUACAAAAAAUUGAGAACCCUGUUACAUUAUUCUGUAUUGUAAAUCCGGUAGCAUAAGGAUGGGUAGCUGAACUGUGAAUGAGCCCCAGGUGCUGCCUGAGGGAGAUGGGGGCACUGCAGCAUAGCUGGAGGGGCCCUUAUCCUCCCAUCCACUGUUCCCUCUGCAUGAAGCACUUGUAAUGCAAGAGCCUGUCAGUUAAGUGGAGGAUCUUGGGAGGAAUGCAGUUUUGUCCAGCAGCUGGAUUCUUCUGUUUGCAGUUUUCUGCCACUGAAACCAGAGGUGUUUUUGCCUGCUUAACAUGGGCAUCUGCAGCAAAAAAGGUGGUAUUUCUCCUCAGUAGCAGCAUCCUUUAGCUGUUACACUUGCAUGCUCCCACUGCUAGAGCCUCCAGGGCCAGAGUCUCUGGCCAGUUAAGCCUCUACUGUAAAUCUAAAAUGGUCAAGAGUUUGGAGGACUUGGGGGAGAGGUGUGUUGUAUGGUUUAAGGCCAGUGCUUUGGGAGGUGGUAACAAAAUGUUUUGAAUAUUCAUACUAGACUAUAAAAUAGUACAAGCUGUCUGUCAUUUAGCAAGAUAAACUAACUUAAUAAAAGGCCUUAAGGAUGAGAUCAGACUUCAUGCAGCAAAAAACUGUUUUUGGGAUUUUAAACGAAGAGAAUAGGCAGACAGUUGCUCAUGUUUUAUUAAAAUAUACUUGCUAAUCAUGUUCCUCAGGCCCCUGACAUGUUACCUAUGUGACCCUAAGAGUGAAAAAUUGGGACCGACUUGGGUUUCUCUGGGUUUUAAUAGGUGUGUAAGCUAUUUCACCCCUUACCCCACCCCUUCCAGAAAACAUCAGAGGUGGACUGUAAGUAAUGGUUGUGUAUCAACACUGUUAGCUUAUAUAAAAUACCUAUAAAAGUAAUAGCCUAGAUAAAUGAAAUUGGGUCACUUCUAAAAUUAAGAAUAUGCAAUAUUGGUAGCAGAUUUUAAGUGGUUGCCUUAUUUCUAGUGUGACUUAGGAGCAUCCAGCAUAUAAUGAGAGUGAACACCAACAACACUGGGAGAAAUACCAGCCACUCCAGUACAACUUAACUUUAAAAUGGUGGAUAAUUUGACGGUUACAGUAUGCUCAUCUCCCAAGAACAAAUGGCACUGUUCAGAAAUGUUCAAUGGCUCAUUGAACUGAAGUGAAAUAGCCAAAAAAGUAGAGGGGAAGAAGCUUUUAUUCAGAUAUGGUCUCUAGCUGUCAUUCUUUUAAGUAAGAAGUAUAGACAGCUUCCUCAUAUGCUUACAACAAAUUUACUUGUUGCUCAGUGAUGAGUUGGAACAUUUGUAUCAACAUCAUCUGACAAAUGUGGAUGAUGUGACUGGAAAGAAAUGUAACACCUGAAGAGAAAUCUUUCUGUUACUUGAACAUGGAGAUCAAGGUUAAAAAAAGCAAACAAAAAGCCCAUAACUAAGUUUCUGCUUCCAAAAUAGCUAUUGGAAAUGUUUUACUUUUUUUGAAGCAUCCUGUGCAUUGGAACCUAUCAUUCUCUGUCGCUUCAAAAUGAACAACCUUGUGGAACGCUAACUUCUAAUGAAAAUUUGUCCUAUAAACUACAUGUGAAAUCAAAAAAAUAAAAUCUGUUUUUCUAUAUCA